RNAcentral lists this ribosomal RNA (442 nucleotides) under uncultured bacterium. RNAcentral describes it as "bacterial SSU rRNA". It matches the Rfam family "Bacterial small subunit ribosomal RNA", at positions 339 to 796 of the family's 1533-position model. The record is from RNAcentral.
GUACGGGAGGCAGCAGUGGGGAAUUUUCCGCAAUGGGCGAAAGCCUGACGGAGCAAUACCGCGUGAGGGAGGAAGGCUUUUGGGUUGUAAACCUCUUUUAUUCGGGAAGAAGAACUGACGGUACCGAAUGAAUCAGCAUCGGCUAACUCCGUGCCAGCAGCCGCGGUAAUACGGAGGAUGCAAGCGUUAUCCGGAUUUAUUGGGCGUAAAGCGUCCGCAGGUGGUUUAUCAAGUCUGCUGUCAAAGCGCGGAGCUUAACUCCGUAAGGGCGGUGGAAACUGGUAGACUAGAGUCUGGUAGGGGUCACGGGAAUUCCCAGUGUAGCGGUGAAAUGCGUAGAUAUUGGGAAGAACACCGGCGGCGAAAGCGCGUGACUGGACCGGAACUGACACUGAGGGACGAAAGCUAGGGGAGCGAAAGGGAUUAGAAACCCCAGUAGUCC